UCUACUAUCCAGCGAAACCA
This 20-nucleotide small nuclear RNA is filed under the name Arabidopsis thaliana (thale cress). RNAcentral describes it as "snRNA_18138". The record is from RNAcentral. Lineage: Eukaryota; Viridiplantae; Streptophyta; Magnoliopsida; Brassicales; Brassicaceae.